RNAcentral lists this ribosomal RNA (674 nucleotides) under uncultured bacterium. RNAcentral's name for it is "bacterial SSU rRNA". It matches the Rfam family "Bacterial small subunit ribosomal RNA", at positions 166 to 859 of the family's 1533-position model. The record is from RNAcentral.
AUACCGCAUGAGACCACAGCAUCGCAUGGUGCAGAGGUCAAAGGAGUAAUCCGGUUCGGGGUGGGCUCGCGUCUGAUUAGCCAGUUGGUGAGGUAACGGCUUACCAAAGCAACGAUCAGUAGCCGACCUGAGAGGGUGAUCGGCCACAUUGGAACUGAGAGACGGUCCAAACUCCUACGGGAGGCAGCAGUGGGGAAUAUUGGGCAAUGGGCGAAAGCCUGACCCAGCAACGCCGCGUGAAGGAAGAAGGUUUUCGGAUCGUAAACUUCUAUCCUUGGUGAAGAUAAUGACGGUAGCCAAGAAGGAAGCCCCGGCUAACUAUGUGCCAGCAGCCGCGGUAAUACGUAGGGGGCAAGCGUUGUCCGGAAUGAUUGGGCGUAAAGGGCGCGUAGGCGGCCCGGUAAGUCUGAAGUGAAAGUCCUGCUUUUAAGGUGGGAAUUGCUUUGGAUACUGUCGGGCUUGAGUGCAGGAGAGGUAAGCGGAAUUCCCGGUGUAGCGGUGAAAUGCGUAGAGAUCGGGAGGAACACCAGUGGCGAAGGCGGCUUACUGGACUGUAACUGACGCUGAGGCGCGAAAGUGUGGGGAGCAAACAGGAUUAGAUACCCUGGUAGUCCACACUGUAAACGAUGAAUACUAGGUGUCGGGCGUCAAAACUCGGUGCCGCAGCUAACGCA